CGGGACGGGUGAGUAAUGUCUAGGGAAACUGCCUGAUGGGAGGGGGAUACUACUGGAAACGGUAGCUAAUACCGCAUAACGUCGCAAGACCAAAGAGGGGGACCUUCGGGCCUCUUGCCAUCGGAUGUGCCCAGAUGGGAUUAGCUAGUAGGUGGGGUAACGGCUCACCUAGGCGACGAUCCCUAGCUGGUCUGAGAGGAUGACCAGCCACACUGGAACUGAGACACGGUCCAG
RNAcentral lists this ribosomal RNA (234 nucleotides) under uncultured bacterium. Its description in RNAcentral is "partial 16S ribosomal RNA". It matches the Rfam family "Bacterial small subunit ribosomal RNA", at positions 100 to 334 of the family's 1533-position model. The record is from RNAcentral.